Molecule: transfer RNA, 87 nt
Filed under: Streptomyces kordofanensis
Lineage: Bacteria; Bacillati; Actinomycetota; Actinomycetes; Kitasatosporales; Streptomycetaceae
Description: Streptomyces sp. MRC013 tRNA-Leu
Rfam family: tRNA
About the family: Transfer RNA (tRNA) molecules are approximately 80 nucleotides in length. Their secondary structure includes four short double-helical elements and three loops (D, anti-codon, and T loops).
Source: RNAcentral
GCCCGGAUGGUGGAACGCAGACACGGCGAGCUUAAACCUCGCUGGCCUACGACGGCCGUGCGGGUUCGAGUCCCGCUCCGGGCACCA